CUACAACCACAAAAUUUGUCUCAAUCAUCAAUCAAAUCUAGCUAAAAAAGGACAGCGUGAUUUCCAAUACAAAGAUAUAAUGACCUUGAACAACCAAAAUCUCCCACCUUAUUUUUCAAAACAGGAUGCAGGAAAUUGUAGCUUUCUUUCUCUGAAUGUACAAAUCAUUCAUAGAUCAUAACAAUCAAGGUUCUCAGUUCUCACUUUGAUAUCAUUCUAUCUAUGUCACGGAUGGCAUUUUCUACAUAAACAAAAUAUCCUAUCUCACCAAUCACCAUUUAAAUAAUAAUGUCUUCAUUUAAAAUGUCUCCUAAAAAUUUGUAGUCAUUUACAUUAUUUUGCCACCCCAAAUGAAUUUAAAAUAAUUAAAUACAAAAACAAAAUCUGUAGACCCUAGUGGUCAUGCAAAUGACACAAGGGCCAAGUGGGGCAUUAAAGUGUUUGGAGGAAGAGAAAGCGGCAGGGAAAGACAAACAAGUCACAAGGAACUGAUAACAUUUUGUCCAACAGGGCUGUAUAUGUCCCAGUUUAGAAUAAAAGGUAUUUUAUUAACAAGGCUAGUGAAUUUAAAAUGGUUAUCCGGUUCACAUAUGCUCCCAAAAGUAAAAAUUCUUAUGCUACUUUUUUUGCUGCUUCUGAUUCAGUUUUUGAAUUCAUGAAGCUCAUGAAUCAGUCCAUCAGCAAACUUAAGAACAGCCUAAAAAAGCUAUGAGAACUUCAUGUAAGAGGACUUAUGGGCAUAACUUUAAAUUUCUUGUUGAAUUAAUGUGCUCAUUAUCGUGCCAUGAAGAGAAAAAGAACUAGUUUACAAUACUUUUUUUUUUAAAUUUUUUUAUUCACCUUCAUCAACAAACAUAUUUCAUGCUGAGAUUCUUUUCAUUUAUAACAGCCUGUUUACAGAUUGUUGGUCACAAAAUUGAACCCUGUUUGGGACAGCCUAACCCACUCCCCAGCUUGUCCAUGUAAAAUACUUGGCUGCACCUAUUGAAUUAUAUGAUAUACGCAUAAACCAUUUGAUAUGAUUCCAAUUAAGGAAAAAAAAUAUCCACAUUACAAGCCACCAUCAAAGAAAUUCAUAUUCAGUAAAUUAACAAAGUGCAAAUAUCAUGUCAUCAGAAG
Molecule: unclassified non-coding RNA, 1119 nt
Filed under: Hevea brasiliensis (rubber tree)
Lineage: Eukaryota; Viridiplantae; Streptophyta; Magnoliopsida; Malpighiales; Euphorbiaceae
Source: RNAcentral